This is a long non-coding RNA of Brienomyrus brachyistius, 2139 nucleotides long. RefSeq lists it as uncharacterized. Lineage: Eukaryota; Metazoa; Chordata; Actinopteri; Osteoglossiformes; Mormyridae. The record is from RefSeq and is a predicted model, not a curated record. The transcript has 2 exons.
AUGGUGCUUAAAUGAUCAUGCUGGUGUAAAACUAUGAUGUUACAUCUGUCAAAGUGUGUCAGCUUAGCUGUUUCAAAACAUCUCCUACUCUCAGAAAAAUAGGUAAAAAUUUGUACCGUUGUCACGGGCGCUGUACCCCCAAGGCUCUACCUACUGUACCAUUAGCUGCAAUUAAUUGUACCUUUUGAGGUACAGAAAUGGACUCUCUUGCUCAAGGACACUUUGAUGGGGUCAGGAGGAACCAGGGCUCGAACCUGCAACCCUCCAGUUGCCAAACGAAAGCACUACCUCCUGUGCCACCAUCGUCCCCAUGAGAGUGUAAUGUCACCAUAGUAUUAGCAAUAACCAUGCAAUACACCCAUUCACUGUUGACUGGACAUAGCACACCUCGUUUGGCAAAUCAAUAACUCACUGAGGUAUUUAACUAAUUAAUUAAUUGAGCUGGUUGUGAUAUUUAAUAAAUACACGGAAUUGCUGGGGUGCCCCCGAGGAGAGGUUAGGGAACUGAAGCCGUGUUCUUCUAUCCAUCUAGCUAAGUAUCAGUCCCUUUUUCACGAACAAAAGAAAUUAUUGUUAGUUACUGUUACAGAUCAUUUGCAUAUCUUAUAAUGUUGUGUUUAUUUCUGAGCAAAUAUAUACUUACUACCUAGAUAAAACGUUUGACACAUUUCCUUUGACUGUACUCACAUUGUGCUGCAUUUUUUUUUUAUUUACUCGAAAAAGCACGGGAAAAAAUGGGUUAAAGUAUAUCGUGUGCCAAAGUUUGAUAACUUUUGCCCGAGUUUAGCAGCAUGAGCUUAUUUUAAGACAAGCCUUUAGCGUUUUUUGUAAAACACUGUGAAUAAAACUGCCACUAUUGCCCUGACACUUUCUUUCCCUACGCAUUGUAUUAUGUAUAUUAGUAUAAUGUAUAUCAACAAGAGUCGAAGACAACGCAGAACGCGACACCAUCCCGCAGUCUUUAAGAAGUAGCACCAGACUUUGGAAUAAAAUAUGCAAACAUCGGAUCAGAUAAAAGCCCUCUUUGGCUCUGGAUAUCGCGUGGACGCGUUACUUGCUAAUGCCACGGGUGUGUAUUGUUUAAACUGCACGGAUCUGGCAUGGACUAGUUAAACGUCAGGGGCUGCAUGCGACUGAACCACGCAACAACGUGAUCAACAAGACAGGGCUGAUAACCUUUUAUACAAAAACUCCUACAACCUUAAGUAUGCCUUGAUGGACUGCCUGACUGCUGCUUCAGGAAUAUACUGUUACGUCAAGCUGAGAAGCUCCUUAUAGGCGACAGAUUUUUAGCCGGAUAGAAUGUAUUAACCUUGGGUAAUCAAUAGUGAAAAAUCGUUUGAAGGAAAAUCCCAUUCAGACUUUGAUAAAGUAUGAUUUAAAUGGCCACUGCUUUAGCAUCGUUUGUCAUGUUUAUAAUCAGAUAAAGACUUGGGAUGCAAGCCUGUCAUCCCACACGUUGAGAAUGAACACUGAAGGAACCUUAUAAAACUGUAUUCUCGCAUUUAGUUGUGUGUAAUUACUCCCAUCCUUGUUUACUAACACAACUUUCAUUUACUGUUUUCUGUACUACAACAAGCUACCAAGGUUUAAAAUAUUUAAACAUUAAUUGAAAAUAUGAUUAACAUCUUGUAUAUUGAUAUGACAAAAAAUGCAAAAGGUUAUUUUAUGGGUAUUUCCAUAUGAAAUGCAUUACUCAAAAUUACAAUAUGACUGUCUCAAUUCUAGAAUGUUUUUUUUUGUAUGUUGUUCACAUUAAGAAACAUGUUAUUUUAAUAUAUAUCAAUAAAAAAAACAUGUCAUGAUAUUUUAAAAAAACACACACAUACAUAACUAUUUCUGGAGACAUUCCAUUUUACUUGAAAUGAAAAAUCCUUAACCCCCAAACCACAUAAUGUCAGAAAAUAAUAAAAUCUAAUGUUAAACAAGAAGUUUUUGCACUUCAGAGUGAUUUUUCACAAGUUGUAAAAAUGUCACGUCUCUCAUGGGCAGAACUGUGCUUUUCAGUUAAUUUAAUUUUGCGUGGAGACACACAAGAAGACAGUUUUAUCUUCACAUAAUUCCAUACUUACAUGUGCAAGUGCCCGGACACAAACACACACACACACACACACACACACACACACACACACACACACA